RNAcentral lists this transfer RNA (77 nucleotides) under Shigella sp. RNAcentral's name for it is "tRNA-Arg". It matches the Rfam family "tRNA". Rfam says of the family: Transfer RNA (tRNA) molecules are approximately 80 nucleotides in length. Lineage: Bacteria; Pseudomonadati; Pseudomonadota; Gammaproteobacteria; Enterobacterales; Enterobacteriaceae. The record is from RNAcentral.
GCAUCCGUAGCUCAGCUGGAUAGAGUAAUCGGCUACGAACCGAGCGGCCGGAGGCUCGAAUCCUCCCGGAUGCACCA